GAUGAACGCUAGCGGCAGGCUUAAUACAUGCAAGUCGUGGGGCAGCAGGACUGUAGCAAUCCAGUUGCUGGCGACCGGCAAACGGGUGCGGAACACGUACGCAGCUUACCCUGAACUGGGGGAUAGCCCGGGGAAACCCGGAUUAAUACCCCGUAAUAUAAUGGAGUGGCAUCACUUUAUUAUUAAAGCUCCGGCGGUUCGGGAUGGGCGUGCGGCUGAUUAGGUAGUUGGUUGAGGUAACGGCUCACCAAGCCUACGAUCAGUAACUGGUGUGAGAGCACGACCAGUCACACGGGCACUGAGACACGGGCCCGACUCCUACGGGAGGCAGCAGUAAGGAAUAUUGGGCAAUGGAGGCAACUCUGACCCAGCCAUGCCGCGUGGAGGAUGAAGGCCCUCUGGGUUGUAAACUUCUUUUAUAGGGGACGAAACCUAUGUUUUCUUACGCAGUUGACGGUACCCUAGGAAUAAGCACCGGCUAACUCCGUG
Molecule: ribosomal RNA, 489 nt
Filed under: uncultured bacterium
Lineage: Bacteria
Description: partial 16S ribosomal RNA
Rfam family: Bacterial small subunit ribosomal RNA
Source: RNAcentral